RNAcentral lists this microRNA (22 nucleotides) under Asparagus officinalis (garden asparagus). RNAcentral's name for it is "aof-miR12159". Lineage: Eukaryota; Viridiplantae; Streptophyta; Magnoliopsida; Asparagales; Asparagaceae. The record is from miRBase by way of RNAcentral.
UUCCGAGUGAAGAAUCGUUGCU